Molecule: long non-coding RNA, 1065 nt
Organism: Hirundo rustica (Barn swallow)
Lineage: Eukaryota; Metazoa; Chordata; Aves; Passeriformes; Hirundinidae
Exons: 2
Source: RefSeq, a predicted model, not a curated record
CCCGCCCGUGCGGAGGGAACCGGGAUUCCCAGGCGGCGCUCUGGGCCCCCCUCCGCCCCUUUCCGCAGCUCACAUUUCCCUCUCCUCGUAAAUCAAUACCGCCCCUCUCUAUCCCGCCCCCGCCACCCUCACCCACCCCCUAGAAGAGGGGUUUUGAGAAUUUUAAGAACCGGGUUUUGCUCCGUUUGCACACUUGUCUCCGCCCGGCCUCCCAGCCGGGCACGGCGCGGACAGCGGCGGCUGAACCCUGAAGGGGCCGGGACGCCCGUCUACCGGCCCGGAGCCCUGGAGCACACCUCGAGGCGGCAGUCGGGCCGUACGCCAGGGCUGGGCGAGCCCCGAAUCGCAGGUGCCCCAGCGGAGCCGCGGGGAUCUCAGGAAACAACAUGGAGGUGGCGGUGCCCGGGCUCUCCUGCCCCCGCAGCCCGCUUGCCCGCGCACCGCCAGCCCAGAGCCGCCCGGACCAUCGGAAUUGGCACUGCCGGCCCUCUGAGUCCCCACUGGCCUUGCAUUUGAGAGUCCUGUGUGUCUAGUUGCACUUCUGGAGAGACAAUUAAGCUUUUUUUCAAAUUAUUCACUAGUUUUGGGGUUUGAGAGCAAGGGGGCAAGGAGACUGGUGGAUGGGGCAGCUGUAGAGCCCAUAGGGCAAGGAUGCAGUGCCUGUCAAAUCAUCACCUCCUUCAUUUAAGCCUGUAUGGCAACAAAGGAAGCUCUAUAUGAUAUUACAGUUUCCUCCAUCUGCCACUUAGAACAUUUCAGGUGAAAACGCAGGAGGGCUGGCAGUCUGCGAAGCUCUUACAUGCUGGGCAGAGAAAGCUCAAGAUCAUUUAAAACUUGCUUUGCCAGGAACUUUACUGAGCAGAUAUGACACUUUCAAUAAACUGCUCUGUCUCCCAAGCUUUGUUUCCCAGAUCCUCAGCAAGCCUUAUUCCAAGAAAAGGCCUCUGCUCAGAGCUCAUCCAAAAGGCAAUGAACUGCUGGGGACAGUGUUGUAAGCACAGCCAGUUGACAACUUCACUAAUGGCUCCUCCACAGGUUAACAAUUUGUGGGUGUUAGGGACUCUC